UCAGAUAAUAUUAAGUAUAUAAUAAUAACUGUUUAAACUAUGUGAUGUUAGUUUAUAAUUAUUAUAUUAGGUGAAGUUGAGUUGCAAGAUGUUCGUGGUAAGUUAUUAACAGUGUUCAUCGCCUCACUUGUAAACAUUAAGUCGACUAAAAUGUGUUACUUAAAAUAAAAACUUGGAGGAUUUAAUACUUAACUACGUCAUUAACACUAUAUAAAGAUGCGAGUGGAUGGACAUAAGAAAGAUACAGGAGGCCAUCCCACACAAACAUCUUCCACCACAACACAAGAUUAAAGCUGUAUAAAACAGGAGGCAGAACAAUUCCUCACAACUGUACAAUAAGUCAGUACAGUAUGAGGAUUAGUGAACAUCUUCAAAAGAACAUUGUAAGCAAGAUUAAG
Homarus americanus (American lobster) is the source of this 398-nucleotide long non-coding RNA. RefSeq lists it as uncharacterized. The record is from RefSeq and is a predicted model, not a curated record. The transcript is spliced from 2 exons. Lineage: Eukaryota; Metazoa; Arthropoda; Malacostraca; Decapoda; Nephropidae.